GACGAACGCUGGCGGCGUGCUUAACACAUGCAAGUCGAACGGAAAGGCCCUGCUUUUGUGGGGUGCUCGAGUGGCGAACGGGUGAGUAACACGUGAGUAACCUGCCCUUGACUUUGGGAUAACUUCAGGAAACUGGGGCUAAUACCGGAUAGGAGCUCCUGCUGCAUGGUGGGGGUUGGAAAGUUUCGGCGGUUGGGGAUGGACUCGCGGCUUAUCAGCUUGUUGGUGGGGUAGUGGCUUACCAAGGCUUUGACGGGUAGCCGGCCUGGGAGGGUGAACGGCCACAUUGGGACUGAGAUACGGCCCAGACUGGUACGGGAGGCAGCAGUGGGGAAUAUUGCACAGUGGGCGGAAGCCUGAUGCAGCAACGCCGCGUGCGGGAUGACGGCCUUCGGGUUGUAAACCGCUUUCGCCUGUGACGAAGCGGGAGUGACGGUAAUGGGUAAAGAAGCACCGGCUAACUACGUG
Molecule: ribosomal RNA, 468 nt
Filed under: uncultured bacterium
Lineage: Bacteria
Description: partial 16S ribosomal RNA
Rfam family: Bacterial small subunit ribosomal RNA
Source: RNAcentral